GCGGAUGGCUGGAUGAUCGCGGGCGCAUGCGUUCGAGGAAAGUCCGGACUCCACAAGGCAACGGUGCCGGGUAACGCCCGGCCGGGGUAACCCGAGGGAAAGCGCCACAGAAAAGAAACCGCCCCCGCGUUAGCGGAGGUAAGGGUGAAAUGGUGGGGUAAGAGCCCACCGCGCCGCUGGCGACAGUGGCGGCCAGGCAAGCCCCACCGGGAGCAAUGCCAAAUAGGGACCUCGCGCGAGGGUAACUUCGCAGGGCUGCUUUGGCCCGAGACGGUCCGGGUUGGCAGCUAGAGGCCGUGGAGUAAUCCAUGGUCGAGAGGAAUG
Molecule: RNase P RNA, 324 nt
Filed under: Litoreibacter sp.
Lineage: Bacteria; Pseudomonadati; Pseudomonadota; Alphaproteobacteria; Rhodobacterales; Roseobacteraceae
Description: partial RNase P RNA component class A
Rfam family: Bacterial RNase P class A
About the family: Ribonuclease P (RNase P) is a ubiquitous endoribonuclease, found in archaea, bacteria and eukarya as well as chloroplasts and mitochondria. Its best characterised activity is the generation of mature 5'-ends of tRNAs by cleaving the 5'-leader elements of precursor-tRNAs.
Source: RNAcentral